This 780-nucleotide ribosomal RNA is filed under the name Triticum aestivum (bread wheat). RNAcentral describes it as "partial small subunit ribosomal RNA". Lineage: Eukaryota; Viridiplantae; Streptophyta; Magnoliopsida; Poales; Poaceae. The record is from RNAcentral.
AUGGCAGUGUCCUACAUCGAAAUUGAGCAAACCUCAGUGUCCUUAUCGGUAAAAGCUUCGAGUCGCGUUAAUCCAAAGCGGUUCAUAAGAAACGCACAUCCGCCUCCCCUGUUUCUCCAGCUUCGAGGUAUUCCAACCAGAGCAGAGAGAGCAGGGCGCGAGAGGCUGCAAGCGGCCGCCGCCAUGGAGAACGAGUUCCAGGAUGGCAAGGAGGAGGUCAUCCAAGCAUGGUACAUGGAUGACAGUGAGGAGGACCAGAGGCUUCCUCAUCACCGUGAGCCCAAAGAGUUCAUUCCUCUUGCCAAACUUUCAGAAUUGGGUGUUGUAAGCUGGAACCUGAAUGCUGAUGACUGGGAGAAAGACGAGAAUCUCAAGAAAAUCCGUGAGGCCAGGGGAUACUCUUAUGUGGACAUUUGCGACGUAUGUCCAGAGAAGUUGCCAAACUAUGAGGCCAAGCUGAAGAACUUCUUUGAAGAGCACUUGCAUACUGAUGAAGAGAUACGCUAUUGUCUCGAGGGCAGUGGAUACUUUGAUGUGAGGGACCAAAACGAACAGUGGAUCCGUAUAGCAGUUAAGAAAGGUGGCAUGAUUGUUUUGCCUGCAGGAAUGUAUCACCGCUUUACAUUGGAUAGUGACAACUACAUCAAGGCAAUGCGGCUCUUUGUGGGAGAGCCUAUCUGGACGCCAUACAAUCGUCCCCAUGACCAUCUCCCAGCCAGAAAGGAGUACGUCGACAAGAUUAUCAACAGAGGUGGGAACCAAACCGUCGAAGCUCGUUGA